Long non-coding RNA from Monodelphis domestica (gray short-tailed opossum), 7197 nucleotides. RefSeq lists it as uncharacterized. NCBI's taxonomy places the organism in Eukaryota, Metazoa, Chordata, Mammalia, Didelphimorphia, Didelphidae. The record is from RefSeq and is a predicted model, not a curated record.
AGACACGUUUGGAUUCUACUCCCAACCCCCCCCCCCCCCUCCAGCCCAGCCCUAGACCACACGAAUCGAGAAUGACGCGAUAUGGAAUACUAGGGAGGGGCAGAGCCUCACCCAACCUGAGGCUGAUGGAAACUCAGCAGCCUCCGCCAAAGGAAGCAGAAGGCGGGGGAGCAGCCGGAUUCCUAUCCCUGCGAAUGGGAGGGCGGGCGGGGGACUCUCUCCCUCCUCGCCCCAAGGGUACGUGGAGUGUAAAUGGUAGAACUGUUGGGGUCUGAGCCCAUCGAAUCUCUGCGCAGAACAGGUGAACAGAGACAAGCACACAGAAACUCAAUUGUACACACGCGGACCUGGGAAGGAAUCGAUCUUAGCCACUCUUCUUUUGGCUCGACUCUGAAGUCGCCCCAGGCCCCCACACCCUGGCUCCGUUUUCUUUUGUUGCUCAGGGUUUCCAUGGAGACGGAGCUGUGAAGUCGAGCCGCCCCAGACGCGUUUGGGCGGCGUCUCUCCCUCUCUCCUUCCCCCUCCUCUCUCUCUCUCCCUCUACCUCCUCUCUCCUCUCCUCUCCUCUCUCCCUCUCUCUCCCUUUCUCCCCUCUGUCCCUCCCCUUCUCUCUCCCUCCCCUCCCUCUCCCUCUCUCCGUUUCUCUCCCGCUCUCUCUAUUUCCACCUUCCCCUCCCUUUUCGGUCUCUGGGGCUCAACCAACCCCACCCUCCUGGCUAGUCUGGACUGUAGUGCGAUAGGAAUGAGAGGAAGAGCUUGUAAAGGUUAGGGGACAAAGAAUGGGCAGGGAGCGCCUAGCAGAAUCUAAGCACUAAGCAAGGGUGGGAAGAGGAAAACUGAGACAACUGGAUCCAGGAUAAGGUGCCUCAAAUUCUAAAUAGAAUUUGGUUUGAGUGUCAAUCAGAGGCAUCUGAACUUAUAAUUCGGCAACAAUAAGACAAUGAAACGGCUACAGUUUAUCACUGGAAUGAUGUCCGGCACCGGAGUAGGGGCUCCAGAGUAGGAGUUUGGCCAGGGUCAGGUGGCAGGAAACAGGAAACACUGGCAAGAAAGGUUAGAGUGGAAUAUUUUUAAGAUUGUGAGUACUGUGUGUAAAAAGUCAAGUAAGAUCUUGGCAAGACAACAGGAUAGACCAGGCUUUGAUAUGGAGGGGGAGGAGGCCUUCCUUAGAACUAAAGCCAAGCGGGCAGUGGGGUGGCUCAGUGGAUUGAGAGACAGUCCUAGAGAGGGGCGGUCCUACUUUUAAAUGACCCUGGGCAAGUCGCUUAACCCCCAUUGCCUGGCCCUUGCCACUCUUCUGCCUUGGAACCAAUACACAGUAUUGAUUCUAAGCCAGAAAGUAAGGGUUUAAAAAACAAACAAACAAAAAGAACUAAAGUCAAGAACUUGCUAGGGACUCACUCCUGAGGCCGUUUUAGCCAUAGCCGAUUGACAUUCUUUGGGAUAUAUAACCUGUAUUAGAGUAAUACAUAUUUGUCCUUCACAGAUAAGAUCAUCUUAAAAUUUAGAGAUCAUCUCAUCGAUACCUUACAUUUUGUAUGAGGGGAGGCACAAAGAGUUCAAGUGAUUUACCCAUGGUCAAAUAUUAAGUGGCAAGAGAGAUUUAAACUUAGUUCUUUGGAUUCUAUAUCUUUUCCUACAGUCAGGUUUUCCUAUUCUUUGAUGUUUCUCUUGGUACACAGGGUGAGAGGGUGUUAUAACAGAUGGGACAGGUUCAUAGAAAUAAGUAACUAGAAUUCUGUUUUCUAUCCCCAGUUCUCCCAGAGAUUUGGUGAUGGCUCUAGAAUAGACAGUACAGAAUUCCUAGGAGGAGGGCCUGGGAAGACUGGGAUCAAGUCUCACCCCACAAACAUACCCAACAGGAAGGUGGAGAGUGGCAUGCUUUACUUUUAUCCCUCCUAGUGAAUAAGAAAAAAAGCUUCUGGGUGUUCAUUUUUGUUUGUGACUCAAGGACCUUCCCCUUACUCCAUAAGUCAUCUACUAAGAGAGGAUCCACAGUUUAGAUAGCCCUUCAUAUCAUAGAAAACAAAAACUGAGGGAUGUUCAACAGGCCCUGAGAAAAGAUAUGAAUAACUGAGCUUUUUGGUUUUGAGACAGCUUCAAGCUCUGCCUUUGGAUCUCACUGGGAUCUAUAUUUUUGUCUCAGACAAGGGCAAGGUAUAUUUACCCUCCUUGAUCAGAGGUCUCUUGAGGCCAGAGGCAAAUCUUCUUCUUAGUCUAGGAUUCCCUGAUAGCAGAGCAACCAACACUUGUUCCCUGCAAACAGGCUCCUGGGUAGCAGGUCUGUGUCUCCUUUCCUCUUUUACUUAGUUCUCUCUCUGCAGUCCCUGGUCUCCUAUAAAGAUGCUGCCCUCCCCUUUGACCAUGGUCUCUUAAGAAACUUGCUUUGGCCACAUUUUCAUUCAUGUGUUGCCCCUUCCUUGGUGUCAUGAUCACAGAGGAGCAAUACUCCUCUCCCUAUCACUAUCACUCAGGAACUUCUUUUUUGGGGGUUCAUUCAAGUCCUCUUUAUAGUGCUAUUAAGAUUAUGGUAGGUGCUAUCUCUUUUUUUUACUUUUUAAAAUUCAAAGAUAUUUUAUUUUCCCAAUUAUAUGUAAUCAUAAUUUUCACCAUACUCUUUCCAAAAUUAUAAGAUCCAACCCAUCUCCAUCCCUUCUUUGUCUCCCCUGACUUGGAGAUGAUAAGCAAUUUGAUCAUGUGUUGUCAUACAAAGCAUACUUCCAUAUUGAUCCAAACUCAAAACCCAAAAUAAAACCAUAAAUACCCUGAUGUGAAAGAUAGUAUGCUUUGACCCAUAUCAUAUGACUCAACAGUUUUCUCUAGAGGCUUUCCUUUCAUAAGUCUUUCAAAAUAGACCCAGAUCAUUGCAUUGCUGAGAGUAGCCAAGUUUUCACAGAUAAUCAUCGUAUAAUAAUGUUGUUAUUGUGUACAAUGCUCUCCCAGUUCUGCUUAUUUUGCUGUGCAUCAUUUCCUACAGGUCUUUCGGGUAGCUGUUAUCUCUUGAUCUCUAGGAAACUUUCUUCUUUUCAUUGAGUUCAAUGCCUCACUCAGUCUUUCUCCCUUUUCCAAUUCCAUCCUCAUACCAGGGGACUUCAAAAUACAUAUUAAUGUUCCCUCAAAUUCUUAAAUUCCCAAACUGAAUUCUCACUAACUCACUUCCCGUGACUUACUUCUUCCCUCAUCUAGACUACACUCUAAGAUGGUGAUACCUUUGAUCUUGUAUUCUACUUCCAUGCACAUAAAUUCUGAAAUUCCUUUAUCUGAUUACCAUCUGUUGUCAUUCAACCUGACACCUCUAACUCUGUUUUUUCCUUCUCAUCCUGACCUUCAAUUCUUCUACCCUGAAUUUCUAUUCCAGGCUAUCUCCCUUUCACUAAUUUUACUCUUCUCUUUCCCCCAUCUUGAUCCUUGGUGAACCAGCUCAACUCUACACUAUCCUCUUCUCAAGUCCCUUACUUCUUUAUUCUAUUAUCAAUCUUGCCCUACCAAGCCCCAGUCUUAGAUUACUCCUAUCACCUCCUGAAAUGGGAAUCUCCUAUUACCUUGCUGUUGAAUGAAGUAGAAAAUCACAAAAUCAUGCUGACUUGGUUCACUACAAAUUUGUUACAUAAUUUCCAUUGAGUCCUUACAGCAGCAAACCAAUUCAAGAUCUCUCAGUGGAUGUCUAAAACUAUGGACAGUUCUCACUUUUAACUUUGUUUUUAAACCUUUACUAUGUAUUGGUUCCAAAGCAGUGGUAAGGGCUAGGUAAUUGGAGUUCAGUGACUUGCUCUAAGUCACACAGCUAGGAAGUAUCUGAGAGCACAUUUGAAUCUAAGAUUUCCCAUCUCUAGGCCUGGCUCUAAAUCCACUGAGCCUCUUCACUUUAACUUUUAACAUGUAUGUUAACUUUGCUGUAUAGUACUACACUCUCUUUCUCUGUGUUCCUGUAUUCUGAAGCUUCCCCUCUCCCUGUUCCCCCUCCCCCCCAAAACCCUUUCCAAAUGAAACCAGAAGAACCACUGCCAGGCAGAGGACUAUGGGUAACUGAAAUGGAGAGUAAACUGAAAGCACAGAAAGUGAAACUUUGGAUAGGGGGUUUCUGUAUUUUCACUGUACGAUUCUAUUCAAGUUAACCUAUCAAUUAUCAUUUGUAUAUCGUCAUUAUGACUUCAUGAGUUCCUGGAGGGCAGAGGAUGUUUUUAUCCUUUUUUUUCAUUCUCAAAAUCUAGUACAGGUUCUGGCAAAUAGUAAAUACUUAAUAAAUACCUGUGGGCCUGACUUCUCAUUAUCUUGGUCAGUAUUUAGGUAUUUCUAAUUCUGAUAUUUAAUUUUGGUCCCUAUGCUAUCAGGAAGGUAAAAACUACUUUGCCUCUGGCUCCAGGACCAGAUUCUUCAUAAAGACCAUUAGUGUUGCAUCAGUUUUCCUAUGGCGGACUCAGUUUGCUGGCUCCCAAAACAAACUCACUCCCUCACACACGUAUACAUAGCCACACAAUUAUCUAUACUUUCACACAAAGUGCACACAUACAUUUAUAUACACAAAUAUAAGUAUUUUUUCUCCCUUCAGGAUUAUUCAGAUCAGAACAAAUAGUCACCUUUUCCUUUCCUGGAAGGUCAUGGAUUUCUCUGGCAGAGCAGGGAGUCAGUCAACAAAGUAGAACAGCAGGAAAAAGAAAUUUUGCUAGAAUGCUUUAAAAUAUUUUUUCUAUUAAAUUUUUUUCAGUUAUAUGUAGAAACAAUUUUUGACAAUUUCUUUUUACAUUUUAAAAUUAAAAAUUUUCUCCCACCUUCCCUCCCUAAGGCAGUGAAAAGUCUAAUACAGAUUAUACCCAUACUUUCAUUGAAUACAUAUUAACAUUUUGCUCAUGUCAUGAUAGAAGAUACAUAUCACACAUACACACACUAGAAAUAAAGGAAAUAUAGUGGAAGAUGCCAUGCUUUGAUCUGCAAUCAUUGUCCAAGUUUCCUUUUUGGGAACAUUUUCAUCAUGAGUCCCUUGUGAUUAAAUUAUAGACUUGCCUUGUUGGUAAUGGUUUAGUUUUCCACAGUUGAUCAUCAUAUGAUAUUUCUGUUAUUAUAUACAUUGUUCUCCUGGUUCUUACUCACUUCAUUUUGCAUCAGUUCAUAUGUCUUGCCAGGUUUUUCAGAAUUCAUCCUGUUUAUCAUUAUUUAUGGCAUAGUAGUAUUCCAUUACAACCACAUACCAAUAACAUGUUCAUCCAUUCCCCAAGUGAUGGACAAACAUUGUUUCCAGUUUUUUGCCACUACAAAAAGAACUUCUAAAAAUAUUUUGGUACAGUAAGUCCUUUUCUUUUAUCUCUGAUCUUUUUGGAAAACAGAUGCAGGAGCAAUACUGUUGGGUCAAAGGGUAUGCAUAUUUUUGUGGUCCUUUCGGCUUGGUUCUAGGUUGUAUCAGUUCACAGUUCCACAAUAGUGUAGUAGUAUCCCAAUUUUUCCACAUCUCCUCCAACAUUUACUAUUUUCCUUUUUGGACAUGUUAAUCAAUCUGGUAGUGUGAAGUGGUAGCUCAGAGUUGUAUUAGUUUGCAUUUCUCUAGUCAAUAGUGAUUUGAAGCAUUUUUUCAUGUAACUAUGGAUAAUUUAAAUUUCUUCUUCUGAGAACUGCCUUUUGACCAUUUUUCAAUUGCAAAAUGCUUUAUAUUUUUUAUAAAUUUGACUUAGUUCUCUAUAUAUUUGAGAUAUAAGCCUUUUGUUGGAGAUACUUGCUAUAAGAUUUUUUCCAAAUUUGGUAUUUCCUUUCUAAUCUUGGUUGCAUUGGUUUUAUUUGUAUAAACCCUUUUUAACUUGAUGUAAUCAAAAUUAUCCAUUUCAUUUUUAACAACAUUAAUUUCUCUAUGUUUUGUUUGGUCAUAAAUUCUUCCCUUAUUCAGAAGUUUAACAGGUCAGUUUUUCCAUGUUCCCUUAUUUUGCUUAUGGUGUCAUUUCUAGAUCAAGUAUCCAUUUUGACUUUAUCCUGGUUAUGGUAUGAAAUGUUGGUCCCUGCCUAGUCACUGGAAACUGCUUUCUAGUUUACCCAGCAAUUUUCUUCAAAUAAUGAAUUCUUUCUCCCAAAGCUUAGAUCUUUGGAUUUAUAGAAUACUAAGUUGUUAUAAACAUUAACUGCCACAUGUUGAGUGCCUAAUCUAUUCCAUUGAUCCACCAUUUUAUUUCUUAGCCAGUACAAGAUUGUUUUGAAGAUUAUUAUUUUAUAGUAUAGUCUGAGAUUUAUUACAGUCAGGUCUCCUUCCUUCAUAUUUUUUUCCUAUUAAUUUGCUUAAUAUUCUUGGCCUUUUGUUCUUCCAGAUGAAAUUUGUUGUUAUUUUUCUAGUUCCAUGAAAUAAUUUUUCAAUAAUUUGGUUGGUAUGGCACUGAAUUAAUUUAGUUAAGAUUGUGAUUUUUCACUCUAAUGGCUCACUCUAUUCCUGAGGAAUGAAUGUUUUCCAGUUGUUUAGGUCUGACUUUAUUUGUUUGGAAUGUUUUACAGUUGGAUUCAUUCAUAUACUUUCUGGGUUUGUUUUAGUAAGUACAUCCCCAGGAAUUUUAUAUUAUCUAGAGUUAUUUUGAAUGGAAUUUCCAGUUCUAUCUUUUGCUUGUUGAUGGUAAAUAGAAUUGCAUUUGAUUUAUGUGACUUUGAUGAAGUUGUUAAAUAUUUCUAUUAGUUUUUUGGUUCUUUAGGAUUCUUUAGAUAUAUAUCCAAUGCUUUUUUUAAUAUAAAACAGGAAUUUGUUGGAAUGUGACUGAUAUAUUAGGGAAUAUUUUGAACAUAAUAUGAACUACAAGUUAUGUAUGUGCUAUUUAUUACACACAAAAUAAUGAGAAUGUAGUCUGCUCUAUUUCAGAAUAACUCACAAGCUACACCCUUCUCAUGCUCACUUCUACAAGUAAACUUCAGGACUUUGUGAAAGUGUCUUUCCCUGGAGAGGUGGCUCUGGCUGAUCAUUUCCCGUGAGCAGGCCUGGGCGCGCCAGUUCGAUCCUGGAACUCAAGCCUGGAGGAGCUCCCUCAGACAGCUUCCUUGAGAUGGUCACGUGGCAUCAAUCUCCCUUGGAGAAAGGUGAUUGGAGAAGACUUUAAGAGAUAUUUAUUCCUGCCUCCCUGUGGGCCACAUUCUAGGCACACCCACGUGGACACACAUAUCUACAUGAGCAACAGAAAACAAGGGGGUACCCUUGGCCCCUUACUAUUACUGUAGUUGAAUCAUUAAACUUAUAAUGCA